Long non-coding RNA from Passer domesticus (house sparrow), 3678 nucleotides. RefSeq lists it as uncharacterized. The transcript is spliced from 6 exons. The record is from RefSeq and is a predicted model, not a curated record. Lineage: Eukaryota; Metazoa; Chordata; Aves; Passeriformes; Passeridae.
AAACCAAUUACAGGCUAGUGAUUUUGCAUUCAAUGGAAUAAUUACUCUUGAAAGCUGGCAGCGUGGGUGAAACUUGCUCCCAGCCUUAAUAUCAGGUUUCACUAUCUUGCCAGAAAGUGUGAUUGACGUCAGCCUGUUACUGUGAUAAAGGCUGUAAACUCACAGGCUCAUAAAGUAAUUUCGUGUGGAAGGAGUCUUCAAAAGUCAUCUGGCCUAGACUUUGCUCAGAGUGGGCCCAGGCCAAAGGCUGCUGGGUGUUGUGCAGGGUCAGCAAGGGGAAGCCCAUGGCCAGUGCUAGCCAGGAAAUCCAACCAGAGAUUAUAACAACCCAUUCUUGCCUCAGAUAACUUAUGAAUCACUAAGAAAAGACUUUUGUCUUUCCAGUGUUGGGUGGGAGAAAAGUAAAACAACAUAGAACACACAAUCAGGAGGAGAAAUGGCUGUGGAGUUGGUGGAUAAGAGAUGCUUAUCCUUAAGUUACAGUCUUGAAGUAAAUAAAGAUGUAAGCUGUUUUCAGUGCUUUUUAAUUGGGAUGGAGAGGCUGCAACUGGCAGGGCUCUCUACUCUGAAACUGAGGUGUUGUGUGUCCAGACAGCCCCAGGAACUGAUGUGUGUUAAUGACCACUCACUACACACUCGUAGGUUUUCCAUGUGUAAUUUGCCCUACUCUUGCUGCUGAUCCUGGACUGCUUGUCUCUGGAUGAGCUGUCUGUGCCUGGCAUGGGCUCUCACCAGGACGUGUCUGGCUGCUGCACUGACCCCCAGAGAUUCCUGCCCUGCUUUCCAUUCCUCCUGGGCUGUGGUGUCAGCCCUGUGCCAGUGUCUGUGCAGAGACUACUCCAGGUUUGGCUCAGAACUGCUCUUUUGAGAUGAGUUAUGGAUGCACCCAUUCCUAGCAAGACAGCAUGACCACAGAGGAGACUUCAUGCAUGUGCUGGUUGAUCAUCACAGGUCUGCAGUCCAGUGCCACGGGAAGAGCACUGGGACUCCCUGGUCUUUAAACAGUGCUGGCUUAAGGGCUGUUUUAAGCACAGUUCAGGCUUAAGGACUAUGUGGUUCUUAAACAUGGAAAAGAAGCAAGCUGGUUGUGCAAGAGGCAACACUGAUGAGACCUCAAAAAACUAUUGCAGGACAUGAAAGAGGUGGGAAUGAGACAGUCUUGUCUAGCCACCUUAUGUCACUUAAUAAAAUACAUAUAUCCAUGUAGUGCAUGAGAUUGCAUCCAGAUUUUGUGGCUCCCAUCCAUGCUCACACAGCCUGAGUGCUGCCUGGUUCCUGGCUGUCCUCACCUAAUGGGGCUCACCAAGGUGUUACAGCACACUAGAUAACUUGAGCAACCUUAGGAUCAUCAUUAUUAAGCUGAACACUGAAAUUUGGAGAGAAGGUCAUCUGUCUCUUUCUCACUGACUCUUUUGUGUAGCAAACAACGAGGUUUGCAUGAGCAUCCUCUGACAUUUGAUAAUGCCAUCUCUGCAAAGUGUCAUUGUGUUGGAGAACAGGAGACAGACUGGACUAAAGGCGCAGGAGACUGAGGAAAGCAAGUAACAGAGCAUACAGGGGUCUUAAAUGAAGUCUGGGUGGGAUCUAGCUGGUCAAGUUUACCAUGAUAAUGGAUCAUAAUAGCUCAUCUUAUAGCUGUAAUUUUUUGAAGAUGAUCUUGGCUCCCAAACUCUGAAGAAAAUAUUUUCAUGAUGCCAAAAAUUCUCAGCAUUUGAUGGCUCUCCCUGACCUGGCUGAGUCACCUGUUCAGCUGCCUUUCUCCCUCUUGUGCAGUUUGGGGUGGAGGAGAAACAACACUUUCCUUCAUCUCAUCUUUGCCUUUAUCUUUUUUCUUUCUAUUUUUGUUUUGUUUUACCUGGGUUUGGGGAGAGGGAUGAGUUACAAGCUUAAAAAAUGCAGCCUGUGGCUGGGAGGGAGAGCAGGGAGCUUUCAUAUUGUAAUUACCUGGGUUGUGUUAUAGCUUUGUUGGUAUUUUGGCCAUAAACACACCACUCUCACUUAAAGCACAAAGACCGUGCUGAAAGUUAAUUUUUCUUGGCAGUAUGUGCUUAAAAACUAAAAGGUUUCUUUUUGUCAUGUGUUUAACGUAUCAGCUAAUUAGAAAGGAAUGUUAACAUAUGGCAUAACCACCAGCUGCAACAUAACAGCAAAGCUAAAUUUGGUACUAGUGAAGGGGCAUAACCCAAGCACCCAGACCAGCAGACAAUGGUUAGUGUUACCAAAAAGGGUUUGUGAUAUCAAAACAAGUAGGAACAGUUCAGCGGGCAGCUUGUAGAUUGACAUUAGGAUCAGAGGUGUAGACAGAAAUGAAAAAAUAAAAUAAAGUGACAGAACAGUUUUGAAAAUAGAUGACUGCAUGGAUUAGUUGCCUCAUGAAUUGAUGAAGUUAGUUUGAGUACCAGCUAGUGAAGAUGUACCAAUGAUUUUCAUGAGCCAUGACAACUUAUGGCUUAUGGGCUACAAUGGAGGAAAGUGCUGAAAAUGUGUUCAGUGCUGUGAGGAAUGGAUUCAAGAUGAUGUGAACUGGGAGUAUGUGGUGUGUUCUCAUCCCUGGAGGGGGAAGAAUAAAACAGUCUAAAACUGUUUUGGGAAUAGCAUCUCAACAUAGCUGCAAUGACACCACAAGAAAUAAAAUAUUAAUUGGAGAUCUUCCAAAGAUGAGAAAUUAUUGACCCAGAAACCCUGCUUCUUUCAAAGAGCAAUGAAAUUAGAGAAGUCCAUAGAGGUACUAGGAAUGGUAAAAGGAAAUUCUGCCAGCAGUGAACCUGACCGUGGGUCCUAAGCACUGAGUAUUAUAGCAGUGUACAAUGAGGCAAAACAAUGAUCUGGGUUAGAGUAUCUGGUGAUAUGAUUUUUUCAUCUAUGAAAGUCAAAGAGAGAAAGUAGCUCAACAUAGAGAAGGAGUAAAGCCUUCCUGAGGGGAAAAUAAGGGGGGAAAGUUUAAUGCAUGCAAAGGAAGUAAGAUGCCGCCUAACAUUAAGGAAGAAAUUAGUGGUUGAUGAGAAGAAUGAGGCACUAGACUCAAGCCUUCAGAGAAAAAAAUACGCCAAUUUUAUUGCUUGGGAAUGCAGACGUUGCGUGUGGUGGAUGACAGUAUCUGCUGGGAUGAGACAGUGUAAUGCUGUUACCAAACACUCUGAAUUAACAGGGUAUUUUUCUCAGGAUCCAGAUUUGUUAAAUGUCUGUAACUCCUUUAUUUUUAUGAGAUGUACUACACUCUGCCUUUUCUAGAAGACAUUUAUUAGACAGAGACUGUCAGUGGUCAGAACAAAUGUUUCCUUGAAGAUGAAUUUAUGAUAUUUUGGAUGUAGUCAGAUGAUAACUUUAGCUAAGUUGAGCAGGACUCAGGAGUCACUCCAGGCAGAUGUCAUUGAAAGAAACCCUCAGUAUUCAGUGAUGCAGCUCCACACAGAUCUGCCUUCCAGAAAAAUGCCAUCUCCCUUGCCUGAGAAACUGAAAUACUUAAAAUAGAUGGUGACUUAGGAACUGCAUGGGAACAAAAGUAGUUUUACUGUCACUGCCAGACCCAGUGCCUGAUCCUGCUGUGUCUCAAGGCCUGGCAGAGAUAAGAUCUUGACAUACACAGUCUGGGUUUUCAUGUCAAGAAAACUUUGAUUCCUUGUCCUGGAGGAAGCUAUGGUAUUAGCCAGUAAAGAAAAAUGGACCUAGUUUCAGUAG